RNAcentral lists this ribosomal RNA (448 nucleotides) under uncultured bacterium. RNAcentral describes it as "bacterial SSU rRNA". It matches the Rfam family "Bacterial small subunit ribosomal RNA", at positions 328 to 793 of the family's 1533-position model. The record is from RNAcentral.
UGCCCAGACUCCUACGGGAGGCAGCAGUGGGGAAUAUUGCACAAUGGGGGAAACCCUGAUGCAGCGACGCCGCGUGGAGGAAGAAGGUCUUCGGAUUGUAAACUCCUGUCCUUGGGGGCGAUAAUGACGGUACCCAAGGAGGAAGCACCGGCUAACUACGUGCCAGCAGCCGCGGUAAUACGUAGGGAGCAAGCGUUAUCCGGAAUUAUUGGGUGUAAAGGGUGCGUAGACGGGACAGCAAGUUAGUUGUGAAAGCCCUCGGCUUAACUGAGGAACUGCAACUAAAACUAUUGUUCUUGAGUGCAGGAGAGGAAAGCGGAAUUCCUAGUGUAGCGGUGAAAUGCGUAGAUAUUAGGAGGAACACCAGUGGCGAAGGCGGCUUUCUGGACUGUAACUGACGUUGAGGCACGAAAGUGUGGGGAGCAAACAGGAUUAGAUACCCUCGUAU